Polypterus senegalus (gray bichir) is the source of this 1817-nucleotide long non-coding RNA. RefSeq lists it as uncharacterized. The transcript is spliced from 4 exons. The record is from RefSeq and is a predicted model, not a curated record. NCBI's taxonomy places the organism in Eukaryota, Metazoa, Chordata, Cladistia, Polypteriformes, Polypteridae.
GUUUCAGAGUUGAUUUAUUCCGUGUUAGCUGUAUGUUUGCUGAGCGGAUCAAGCGGUAAGAAAACAAAAGCGGAAUCCCUGCGAGAUCAGUAAAUGAUGUGUAGAAGGAAGCAGCCAACCGUGAUAUGCAGCUGAAUAUGAUACAUUUACAAAACGCACACUGGCUUUAAUCACGUUAUAUCCAAGCAUUCUUGUGUGCCGAAAGCGAGAUGGCUACAAAUAUUUGAAGGAAAGAAACGGACUUAAUAAAAUAACACUUUAAAAAUUCCCUCGCCACGAACGGACUACUGACCCCAGCACUCGCAGACACAAAACACAUGUACUGGACGCACGCAGCUACUGUGGGUCUGAGGCUUUGAUUAUUCGCCAAGUGAGAAUACGGUGGAAGGUCUAAAGGAUGCUCUACAUUUAAGAUGAAAGAUGCAUUGUAACAAAAUCCACACAACAGCCACCUGCUGAUUUCCCUGCCUUUCUUACAACGGACCAAGGAGCUUCAAGGCAUAACCAAUUUAAAAAGUUAAAUGUCAACAAAGCUGAAUUCAGAAGAGUGACAGCCAUCUGAGGCCUUAUUCUUUGCCUUGAAGAGAGGCAGGAAGAUUUGAUCUAAGUCUAUUGGGCAAGAUAAGGCUAAAACAGUUCACUUUAAUGUUCAAUUUUCCACAGGCUUCAGCCUAACUGAUCUGAACUAAAUUAAAUUGACCACUCAUCUAUCAGGAGCAACGCAUUAUAGAGGAAGAAGGGUCAAUUAAGUUUAGAUGUUGAUGCUGAUGGCAAAACAGCCAUACAAGAAGACCUCAACAACUGAAUUCUUAACAUUUUUGUCAUCAGCAAAGUCAGUGGUGACAGCAGCAACUAUAAUGUUGGGAUCAUCAUUGAAGGAGUUUAAGUGCUUUUUGAUAUCCCUAGUGUGGCACAUGCAUGUGUCUAUCUAAUGGGCCACAUUUAUACCUUGGAACUAAGCUACCCCAGAAAACUUAAACACACAUUUCAGUUUUUCCAAAGGGCCUUGCUAGAGAUGGAUGAUGCAAACAAAAAGUUGACUUUCAAUACUCAUGAGCUCUUUGUUUACUAGUGUGACAGAAGUCUGACGAAGGAUAUUUAAAUUGCUCUAUUUUCAGGAUUGAUCUCCAUUAUGAAAUGAAAGACAUUUCUAGUGUGCUUUUUGGAAAAAGAGUUUGAAAGUACAGUUCACUAAAUUUUUGAUGUAUUGUCUCUCUUUGUACAUUUUUAUGUGUCCUUGGCUUUCUGUUUCUCUAUGCCAUCAUUUUUUCUUUCAGUACUCUUUUUUGUGUGUGUCUUGCUCAUUGUUUUAAUUUGUGUUUUCAUAAAUAAAAAAAUCAUAAUGUCACUUGUAAAAUCAUUCAAUUUGAAAAAUGUUGCACUCUUUGUGCAUUCUUGAAAGGAUUCAAAUAUAAGUAUGAUAUACUCUAGUCUCAUCAUGUCAGCUUUUUCUGUCCACCUUGUCUCUGACUGUCUCUUUGACUUCCUCACAUUUUGAUUGUUUUCUUUUCUUCUCUCUCUCUCUAAAAUGUAAAUACUUUUGUUUCAAAUGCCACAGUUAUAGCCUGCAGUACUUUUUCUAGUAGAGUGUCAGGAUAAAAAAUAUAUUGCGUAUUUCAUUUUAACUAUAUGAAGCUUUACUAAUGUUGUUUACUAUUCAUGUAUUUUAUUCAAAGUUACAGAUAUUUCUCAUGUCUUGUUCUAAAGUAUAUGCUACAGUGUAAUAGACGUUUUUCCACUUACAAAAGGGUACUUAAAGCCAAACACUAUAUGACCCUUUCCUUGAGGGUCAAGGAAACAAAUGAUGUGGCCCUGAU